UUGAACGCUGGCGGCAGGCUUAACACAUGCAAGUUCGAGCGGAGAGAGGUAGCUUGCUACUGAUCUUAGCGGCGGACGGGUGAGUAAUACUUAGGAAUCUGGCUAUUAGUGGGGGACAACAUUUCGAAAGGGAUGCUAAUACCGCAUACGUCCUACGGGAGAAAGCAGGGGAUCCUCGGACCUUGCGCUAAUAGAUGAGCCUAAGUCGGAUUAGCUAGUUGGUGGGGUAAAGGCCUACCAAGGCGACGAUCUGUAGCGGGUCUGAGAGGAUGAUCCGCCACACUGGGACUGAGACACGGCCCAGACUCCUACGGGAGGCAGCAGUGGGGAAUAUUGGACAAUGGGGGGAACCCUGAUCCAGCCAUGCCGCGUGUGUGAAGAAGGCCUUAUGGUUGU
Molecule: ribosomal RNA, 396 nt
Filed under: uncultured bacterium
Lineage: Bacteria
Description: bacterial SSU rRNA
Rfam family: Bacterial small subunit ribosomal RNA
Source: RNAcentral